CAAUCCCCGCAGUAGCCCUGCUAACAGGAAGUGCAUGACGGCCUGUCACAGAGCGACAGGUAUUUAAAAGGGGCGGGGCAAGACCAGACAGCCAAUCGGAGCGGCGGGAUUGAAGGCGUGGCGGCGCGCGGAGGGGAGGUGGCGCUCACUGCCAGCCAUUAGGGGUGGGAAUAAAAGAAAAAAGAAAGGGGGCAACGGUGACUGGCGGCGUUUUGUUCCAAUCGGAGCGAGGCCAGCGAGUCACGUGGGUGCCCUCAGGAGCGGCUAUCACCGCUGGCGGCCCCUGGUGCUGUGUCCGGGCGCUGCAGUGCGUGUGGGCCGGCGGGGCGGCACCGCUCCCAGCAUGCUCUGCGCGGGGGCGCUCGGCGCGCGCGAGGCGGAGCGGAGCCUGCUGGGAGUCGUAGUCUGUGCGGCGGGGGCGUGCCCGCGCCCCUGAGCGCGCGGGGCUGCCCUAACGGUUGUAACGGCGCCAACGGCCCCUGUCUCUCAGGGGAGCCUUGUGGCGCCGCCCGCGGCGGGGUGUGCGUGGCAGCGGCGGCACCAGCCGUCCUCGGGGAGCCCCGGCGGCUCACCUUCCUCCGCUGAGGGGGCCCUGGGCUGGCGUUAAGCGCUGCUUGCUCGCCCCUCAGCUCUGGAGCCCGUUUGUCUCUCAUGCUACUACUUAUAGAUAUUUUUCUCUUCAACUGCUGCAUUAAUAACUACAUCACAACAAAAUGACUUAAACUCCUUUGCAAUUCUGGAGUGAAACGUGCCAAAAUGCACAAUGCAAUACAAAAGAGGAGCUUAUGGGUGAUUUGGGAUAAGUGCUGACUUCUAGUUGAUUCUGAAGUGAAGAUGUGAUUGAAGUGGACAAGAGCCCGUUUCUGGGUGCCUUCACAACUCCGAAGAAGAGAACAGAAAGAAGAAGAAGAAUGGGGACCAGAGGAAUAUUUUCUACAGACCAGCUAAUUCCAAGACCUACUGGACCAUCUGUGGGUUCCCUGUGUGCACAGGUCAUAAGUUCUCACAUUGUUUCCAGGUGCCUGCAGUUCCAAGGCAUUGGUUUGGAUGGCAGGUUGCAGUUUCCUUUUCUGCAUAGAAUGCAGAUGAAGCUUUUGCUGUGUCUUAACAGGCAUCAGAUGCUGCAACUUGAGAGCCUAACUACUUCUUCGCUUUACUGUAUAGAAUGAUCAGCCUUCACCUUUGCUUGGCCUCCAGUAGCACAGCAACAUUACUCCUCUAGGCAUCAAAAAGGUAAUUAAUGCCCUUCAACCUCUUAAUGCUUUUU
Molecule: long non-coding RNA, 1267 nt
Organism: Falco tinnunculus (common kestrel)
Lineage: Eukaryota; Metazoa; Chordata; Aves; Falconiformes; Falconidae
Source: Ensembl